This 564-nucleotide ribosomal RNA is filed under the name Hansenula anomala. RNAcentral describes it as "Wickerhamomyces anomalus partial large subunit ribosomal RNA". The record is from RNAcentral. Lineage: Eukaryota; Fungi; Ascomycota; Saccharomycetes; Phaffomycetales; Wickerhamomycetaceae.
ACGGCGAGUGAAGCGGCAAAAGCUCAAAUUUGAAAUCUAGCACCUUCGGUGUUYGAGUUGUAAUUUGAAGAUGGUAACCUUGGGUUUGGCUCUUGUCUAUGUUCCUUGGAACAGGACGUCAUAGAGGGUGAGAAUCCCGUCUGAUGAGAUGCCCAUUCCUAUGUAAGGUGCUAUCGAAGAGUCGAGUUGUUUGGGAAUGCAGCUCUAAGUGGGUGGUAAAUUCCAUCUAAAGCUAAAUAUUGGCGAGAGACCGAUAGCGAACAAGUACAGUGAUGGAAAGAUGAAAAGAACUUUGAAAAGAGAGUGAAAAAGUACGUGAAAUUGUUGAAAGGGAAGGGCAUUAGAUCAGACUUGGUGUUUUACGAUUAUCUUCUCUUCUUGAGUUGUGCACUCGUAUUUCACUGGGCCAGCAUCGAUUCGGAUGGCAAGAUAAUGGCAGUUGAAUGUGGCUUCACUUCGGUGGAGUGUUAUAGCUUCUGCUGAUAUUGCCUGUCUGGAUCGAGGGCUGCGUCUUUUGACUAGGAUGCUGGCGUAAUGAUCUAAUGCCGCCCGUCUUGAAACACG